UGAGUAACCUGCCCUUCACUCUGGGAUAACUCCGGGAAACCGGGGCUAAUACUGGAUAUGACUCGAACAGGCAUCUGUUUCGGGUGGAAAGAUUUAUUGGUAGAGGAUGGACUCGCGGCCUAUCAGCUUGUUGGUGAGGUAAUGGCUCACCAGGGCGACGACGGGUAGCCGGCCUGGGAGGGUGACCGGCCACACUGGGACUGAGACACGGCCCAGACUCCUACGGGAGGCA
This 232-nucleotide ribosomal RNA is filed under the name uncultured bacterium. Its description in RNAcentral is "partial 16S ribosomal RNA". It matches the Rfam family "Bacterial small subunit ribosomal RNA", at positions 118 to 350 of the family's 1533-position model. The record is from RNAcentral.